Molecule: ribosomal RNA, 468 nt
Filed under: uncultured bacterium
Lineage: Bacteria
Description: partial 16S ribosomal RNA
Rfam family: Bacterial small subunit ribosomal RNA
Source: RNAcentral
GACGAACGCUGGCGGCGUGCUUAACACAUGCAAGUCGAACGGAAAGGCCCUGCUUUUGUGGGGUGCUCGAGUGGCGAACGGGUGAGUAACACGUGAGUAACCUGCCCUUGACUUUGGGAUAACUUCAGGAAACUGGGGCUAAUACCGGAUAGGAUCUCCUGCUGCAUGGUGGGGGUUGGAAAGUUUCGGCGGUUGGGGAUGGACUCGCGGCUUAUCAGCUUGUUUGUGGGGUAGUGGCUUACCAAGGCUUUGACGGGUAGCCGGCCUGAGAGGGUGACCGGCCAAAUUGGGACUGAGAUACGGACCAGACUCCUACGGGAGGCAGCAGUGGGGAAUAUUGCACAAUGGGCGGAAGCCUGAUGCAGAAACGCCGCGUGCGGGAUGACGGCCUUCGGGUUGUAAACCGCUUUCGCAUGUGACGAAGCGUGAGUGACGGUAAUGGGUAAAGAAGCACCGGCUAACUACGUG